Molecule: ribosomal RNA, 813 nt
Filed under: Triticum aestivum (bread wheat)
Lineage: Eukaryota; Viridiplantae; Streptophyta; Magnoliopsida; Poales; Poaceae
Description: partial small subunit ribosomal RNA
Source: RNAcentral
AUGUCGUCUCCUUCGACGUCUUUCAUAGGCAGUGGUGGUCGCUCUUUAGUAGCGCCUCUCGCAACCUCCGCACAUGGUGAUUGUUGCUCUACACCCUCUGCCCUCGCGACUUUCACCGUUAGUGUUGGUGCAUAUUGCUCCAUCAGCCGCGCCUCACACACGCGCCUUCUCUUGGCACUUGGUGCUUGUCUGCAUGCGCCCUCGUCUCCUUCAUCGGCUUCUGCAGAUGAUUCUGGUCAUGCUACACCAUCUUCUGUAGGGGCUUCCAUAGGUGGUGGUGGUUGCUCCUCUCGUGGUGCUGCUACAUCCACUACUUCAUCUGUGUCCUUCAUUGAGCAGGAGAGUGCGCAACUUCGCGACCCGCUUCUCCCUCGGACUCCUUUGCCGGGUGCAUCUACGUCCACCUCUUCAGUUGAGCCUCUGACUAAGCAGGAGAUUAUGCGACUUCGAUGCCUACGAGGUACGACUUUUGGUUCUAAAUCAACAACUUUUGCUACUGGUUCUUUUGGCACUGUUAGACUAUCUACUACGCUAGCCCAUACAUCUCCAUGGAUUCUUGAUACUGGAGCAUCUUUUCAUAUGACUCAUGAUUCAUCCACUUCGUCCUCCAUUCUAUCUCUCAAUUUUCCUAUUCAUGUUCUUGAUCCUGAUGGUGCCAUCCUUCUGGUUAAUGGCCGAGGCGUUCUUACUUUGUCUUUUCAUGUUCCUGAUGUUACUCAUGUUCCCGGACAUACCAUGCAGCUCAUUUCUAGUUGUCAGAUUGUUGACUCUGCUUGUAGGGUCAUUCUCGAAUUUGACUCAUGUUCUGUUUAG